CAGCCAUAAAUCAACCUCUAUGAGAGCAUGCUGAAUCCCUGUUGAAUAGCACUUAGAUCAUUCUUGUUCAGCUUGAGUGUUGGUAAUCUUUUGCCUAUAGAACUGAAGAAAAAUUAGCGAAUUUAGAAAUUAUUUACAAGUUCAACAGAUCGUUUGGGUCUGCAUUUUGUUGAUCUUCAUAUGAAUAUUUGAAUAAUUCAUACUUUUUGUCACGUACUGCUCUAUGUUUAGAAGGUGUUUCCUUAAAUGUCAGAAGUGUCUGUCUACAGAACGUACGUGGGGCAGUCUUUUGUAAAGAGGAGAUUGCCUUUUAUCGGCAUGCAGAAAAGUCUUUGAUAUCUGGGGUCUUGAGGCACUUACCCAUGUAUGCUCCUGGAGGGCAGAUAUUUCACCGAACCACAGGCUGGAAGGACCUCUGGAUCCAUCUGGUCCAACACCUGCUCACGCAAGGACACCCAAAGCAGGAUGCCCAGGCCCAUGUCUAGGUGGGAGGUUCCAAGUCAUCUCUAGGUAAUGCCAGAGUAACUGCA
Gallus gallus (chicken) is the source of this 530-nucleotide long non-coding RNA. NCBI's taxonomy places the organism in Eukaryota, Metazoa, Chordata, Aves, Galliformes, Phasianidae. The record is from Ensembl.